RNAcentral lists this non-coding RNA (106 nucleotides) under Rahnella aquatilis CIP 78.65 = ATCC 33071. The record is from RNAcentral. Lineage: Bacteria; Pseudomonadati; Pseudomonadota; Gammaproteobacteria; Enterobacterales; Yersiniaceae.
ACAAGUUUUGGUGACUGCGCUCCUCCAAGCCAGUUACCUCGGUUCAAAGAGUUGGUAGCUCUUAGGACCUUCGAAAAAACCGCCCUGCAAGGCGGUUUUUUCGUUU